CCGCGGGGCUCGCCCCUGCGCACGAAGCGGAGGGAUGCCAGGGACAGGUGACCGGGCAGGGGUCCCAGCUGCCAAGUCUGUUGUCGAUGGAGUUUGGCUGGAGAGGUGUGGGGACAGGUUACCGGUGUGGAAAUGAAUAAUGUCACCCAGGCUGACAAAAAUGAAGAGAACGCAAGAUAUUGGCAAGCUGCACAGGCAGAGUCAAGUGCCCUUAGAGGACAGCCAAGGGAACCUUCUCUGCAUCAGGGCACGAACAGCUUGGAAAACGGAACAGCCUAAGUCGAACCCAUCUGCAGAGCCUCCACAUGGUCGUUGUGUGGGGGCAAAGGGAGACACUUCACCCUCACCGCACCUCCUGUUUCCACACUUCUUGGCUAGCUGGCCUUUGGCUGUGGGUGAUUCCCAUGCAGAGGACUGUGGUAGUCAUUAGCUAAGUCAUAGCAAGAUGGCUGCCCGCUCCACCUUUUACCUCAGACCUCGCUUGGGAUUUUAGAGGAAGAGUCCAAUGUGCAUUUGGAACACCUUAGACUUAAGCUGGGCAGGUUUUGGACCAGCAAAUUUGUAUUUUCUACAAGAAAGUGCAUGAGAUGUUUAGAGUAUACUAACAAAAUUGUA
Non-coding RNA from Peromyscus maniculatus bairdii (prairie deer mouse), 615 nucleotides. Lineage: Eukaryota; Metazoa; Chordata; Mammalia; Rodentia; Cricetidae. The record is from RefSeq and is a predicted model, not a curated record.